This 837-nucleotide ribosomal RNA is filed under the name Triticum aestivum (bread wheat). Its description in RNAcentral is "partial small subunit ribosomal RNA". The record is from RNAcentral. Lineage: Eukaryota; Viridiplantae; Streptophyta; Magnoliopsida; Poales; Poaceae.
AUGCUACUGGUCAAGAAAAAAGAUGGAUCUUGGAGGUUAUGCGCUGAUUAUAGAAAAUUGAAUGCUAUAACUAUCAAAAAUAAAUAUCCCAUUCCUAUGAUUGAGGACCUUCUGGAUCAACUCAAAGGAGCAAAGAUUUUCUCUAAAAUUGAUCUCAGAAAUGGAUAUCACCAAAUCAGGAUGGCAGAAGAGGAUAUACCAAAAACUGCAUUCACUACUCACAUGGGACUAUUUGAAUUUCUAGUUAUGUCCUUUGGACUAACUAAUGGUCCUCCAUCCUUCCAGGCAUUAAUGAACUUAUUGUUUGGCCAUCUCAAAUUUGUUGUGGUUUUCUUUGAUGAUAUCUUGGUGUUCAGUUUCUCUCUGGAAGAACACAAGGACCACUUAAAGCAGGUGUUUGAUAUAUUGCAAACAAACAAACUAUAUGCAAAAAUGGAAAAGUGCACUUUUGGACAGCAUGCGAUUGAAUAUUUGGGUCAUGUUAUUAACUCUGAGGGAGUCUCUACUGACCCAUCUAAGAUACAAUCCAUUAGAGAUUGGCCAACUCCUACUACUGUAACUGAAUUGAGAAGCUUUUUGGGGCUAAGUGGAUAUUAUAGAAGGUUUAUCCAGGGAUAUGGAGUAAUUUGUAGACCACUAUUUGAUUGCUUAAAGAAGGAGGGUUUCUCCUGGAAAGAAGAGCAACAAGAAGCAUUUGUGACAUUGAAAAACAAGCUUACCAACACCCCUGUGUUAGUACUGCCUGAUUUCUCCAAACCUUUCAUUUUGGAAACAGAUGCUUGUGGGUAUGGAUUGGGAGCUGUGUUGAUGCAAGAGGGAAAACCUAUAUCUUACUUC